UCAGGGUUGAUUUCCUUUAGGCUUGACUGAUUUUACUCCUUGCAGUCCAAGGAAUUCUCAAGAGUCUUCUCCAGCACCACAAUUUUAAAUCAUUAAAAAAAAAAGGCUUUGUGCCAUUAUUUUCCAUGAGAUCUUGAGCAAAAAAUUCAUGUCUAACAUUCACCCAUACCCAACUUCCAGACAACACUUCUCAGCUCCCUUGCAGGUCUGUGAGCUCUGUGACUACGUCACAAUGGAACAUGAGCAGACUGUGUAUCUUCAUCAGACAUGAUUACCUGGUCUUUCUCUUGCCCCGCUUUGAGGACCAAAGGGCUGGCUUCAUGUUCCAGAUGAUGAAUGUACAAGAAGAUGGAGCCAUCAUCAUCCUGGAUCUUUGAGGACCACAUGGAAGACAGUUGCCCUGAAGAGUCUCUCAGGCCCCUUUUACUUUGUGUGGGAAACUGUAUCUCCAGCUUGGCUGCCACAUUCUCAACAAAGUGGACAGAGUCUAUGAUGGGACUGUCAAAGGAGUAAAGUCUUAGACCAGAGGAGCUGCCACGGAAAAGGCCCAGCUGACACAGGCUGACACAGGCCCCCUGGUAUCCCUGCCCAGGGGUGAUAGAUGGGACCGGGUACAACCAUGGGGCUUUGCUUGAAGAUGCCUUCUCCAAAGAUAUGUGGACACCCCUCCAGGUGCCCUCAGUACCUGAUUCACAGCCUCCCUGCCCUAAGCCCUCUCAGUCUGGAAAAAGCCCCAACACCACAUUCCUCACUUCCCUCUUCCAUCCCAAACUUUUUUGCUGACAUCCUGGUAAAGCAGUUCCAACUCAUCAAUGGGGCCACAGUGCAUACAAGCUCAGGGAUAUCUCACAAGUGACGGCACUUGACAGCUUAUAAAGUUCUUUGUGUCCGUUAUUUCAUCGAGUUCUCACAAAAAUCCUACAUCGCUGUUUAAGGAGAAGGGCACCCAGGUUCAGAGGAAGAGUCUAACUAAGGUAACAAAGAAUGGAAGCCAGGCCUGUCUGGUCACAACGCACAUGGCCACUAUUACCUCAUCAUGACCAGUUGCUUCCAGAGUCCACGGUGCCCUUCUUUGUGGCUGGGCAUAUGGCUUCUAGAAAGAAGACAUUUCCCAGCCCUUCCUGCAACUAGGUGUGGCCAUGUGACUGAGUUCUGGCCACGGAGGUGUAAGUGGUAGAGGUAAAUGCAACUUAUCAGAAGUGUCCUAAUGAUACAAAUGAACUUAUUUACAAAAUAGAUACAGACUCACAGACUUAGACAAUGAAUUUAUGGUUGCCAGUGGGGAAGGAUGCAGAAAAGGGACAAUUAGGGAGCUUGGAACUGACACUUCUAUAUUUAAAAUGGGUAACCAAUGAGGUCUACUGUAUAGCACAGGGAACUCUGCUCAAUCUUAUGUGGCAGCCUGAAUGGGAGGGGAGUUUGGGGAGAAUAGAUACAUACACAUGUAUGGCUGAGUCCCUUGCUGUCCACCUGGAACUCUCCCAACAUGGUUAAUCAGCUAUACUCCAAUACAAAAUAAAAAGCUAAAAAAAAGAAGUGUCCUUACAGGAAGGUGUGAUAU
Bubalus bubalis (water buffalo) is the source of this 1561-nucleotide long non-coding RNA. RefSeq lists it as uncharacterized. The transcript has 3 exons. The record is from RefSeq and is a predicted model, not a curated record. NCBI's taxonomy places the organism in Eukaryota, Metazoa, Chordata, Mammalia, Artiodactyla, Bovidae.